RNAcentral lists this ribosomal RNA (491 nucleotides) under uncultured bacterium. RNAcentral describes it as "partial 16S ribosomal RNA". It matches the Rfam family "Bacterial small subunit ribosomal RNA", at positions 29 to 506 of the family's 1533-position model. The record is from RNAcentral.
AGUGAACGCUGGCGGUAGGCCUAACACAUGCAAGUCGAACGGCAGCACAGUAAGAGCUUGCUCUUACGGGUGGCGAGUGGCGGACGGGUGAGGAAUACAUCGGAAUCUACUUUUUCGUGGGGGAUAACGUAGGGAAACUUACGCUAAUACCGCAUACGACCUACGGGUGAAAGCAGGGGAUCUUCGGACCUUGCGCGAUUGAAUGAGCCGAUGUCGGAUUAGCUAGUUGGCGGGGUAAAGGCCCACCAAGGCGACGAUCCGUAGCUGGUCUGAGAGGAGGAUCAGCCAAACUGAAACUGAGACACGGUCCAGACUCCUACGGGAGGCAGCAGUGGGGAAUAUUGGACAAGGGGCGCAAGCCUGAUCCAGCCAUACCGCGUGGGUGAAGAAGGCCUUCGGGUUGUAAAGCCCUUUUGUUGGGAAAGAAAAGCAGCAGGUUAAUACCCCGCUGUUCUGACGGUACCCAAAGAAUAAGCACCGGCUAACUUCGU